UAUAUACAGCCCAUAGCAGUAGAGGCAAAGAAAGGGCAUUACCAGUUAUAUUCAUCAUAAGUAUAGAAGUGACUCAUGUUUGUCUUUUAUGUGCAUGCCUACCAUGAUGGUUAAAGUGAAAGGUAACUCUAAGCACAGUGAGCAGAAUGACAGCGCCCCCGCAGGAGACUGGAAGAAGAUGCACUGGAAGGCAGGGAAGUCAUUCAGAAACACUGCGUGUUAGACUAGAAGAGAAAGAAAAGACAUAAAUAAGAAAGUAUUGAUUCUCCAGAUAUUCACGGCAAGAAACAAGUUGAUAAAACUAUUCAGCUGCAAAGACCUACUACCAUUUAUGAAAAAAGGAUGCUUCAGAAAACAGAGCCUUGAACCAGAGGGCAGAGAUGCAAGCAAGCAGCAUCUGUCACCUAUUAUCAGGAGUCUAAACACUUCUGCCCACUCAUCUUGGUAUCAGAGUCACCAAGGAGAAGACAUCAGUCAAACGCUGGAUGGAACAAUGCUCUGCUCACACAGAAAAGGCAGAGUGAGAUUAGUUUCAGUAGUGUGUGCCAGUGAAUCCUAGGGCCUGCAGAUCACUCCUGGCCGCCAAAGCAGGGCACUUGGCCCGCAUGCACUCCUUUUGUGCUAAAGCAGAAGAACACCACAUCUCCUGUGCAGGGGACAAAUAUAUUAGUGGGACUGGCCAGGUGCCAUAUGACGCACGUGCUUAAGCAGAACAAAGGAGUCCACGUUGAGUCUGAAAUUGAGAAAGAGAUUCCCACACAAGGCAACAAGACCAGCACAAGCUGUAAGAA
Molecule: long non-coding RNA, 791 nt
Organism: Zalophus californianus (California sea lion)
Lineage: Eukaryota; Metazoa; Chordata; Mammalia; Carnivora; Otariidae
Exons: 3
Source: RefSeq, a predicted model, not a curated record